This 467-nucleotide ribosomal RNA is filed under the name uncultured bacterium. Its description in RNAcentral is "partial 16S ribosomal RNA". It matches the Rfam family "Bacterial small subunit ribosomal RNA", at positions 28 to 507 of the family's 1533-position model. The record is from RNAcentral.
GAUGAACGCUGGCGGCGUGCUUAACACAUGCAAGUCGAACGGAAAGGCCCAAGCUUGCUUGGGUACUCGAGUGGCGAACGGGUGAGUAACACGUGGGUGAUCUGCCCUGCACUUCGGGAUAAGCCUGGGAAACUGGGUCUAAUACCGGAUAGGACCACUUCUUGGAUGUUGUGGUGGAAAGUUUUUUCGGUGUGGGAUGAGCUCGCGGCCUAUCAGCUUGUUGGUGGGGUAAUGGCCUACCAAGGCGUCGACGGGUAGCCGGCCUGAGAGGGUGUACGGCCACAUUGGGACUUACAUACGGCCCAGACUCCUACGGGAGGCAGCAGUGGGGAAUAUUGCACAAUGGGCGCAAGCCUGAUGCAGCGACGCCGCGUGGGGGAUGACGGCCUUCGGGUUGUAAACUCCUUUCGCUAGGGACGAAGCGUUUUGUGACGGUACCUGGAGAAGAAGCACCGGCUAACUACGUG